UGAGGCCUCCGACGUGACACAACAUCCUGCAGCGGUGUUGUGUGACCUGCAGUGUCCGUCGCUGGCCUCG
This is a small RNA of Penicillium freii, 70 nucleotides long. It matches the Rfam family "bZIP non canonical Hac1/Xbp1 intron". Rfam says of the family: bZIP intron RNA is a non-canonical intron that was first reported in HAC1 gene in yeast and XBP1 gene in Metazoa. Lineage: Eukaryota; Fungi; Ascomycota; Eurotiomycetes; Eurotiales; Aspergillaceae. The record is from Rfam.